This 398-nucleotide ribosomal RNA is filed under the name uncultured bacterium. RNAcentral describes it as "bacterial SSU rRNA". It matches the Rfam family "Bacterial small subunit ribosomal RNA", at positions 358 to 773 of the family's 1533-position model. The record is from RNAcentral.
GGAAUUUUGGGCAAUGGGCGAAAGCCUGACCCAGCAACGCCGCGUGAAGGAUGAAGUAUUUCGGUAUGUAAACUUCGAAAGAAUGGGAAGAAUAAAUGACGGUACCAUUUAUACGCUCCGGCUAACUACGUGCCAGCAGCCGCGGUAAUACGUAGGGUGCAAGCGUUAAUCGGAAUUACUGGGCGUAAAGCGUGCGCAGGCGGUUAUGCAAGACAGAUGUGAAAUCCCCGGGCUCAACCUGGGAACUGCAUUUGUGACUGCAUGGCUAGAGUGCGGCAGAGGGGGAUGGAAUUCCGCGUGUAGCAGUGAAAUGCGUAGAUAUGCGGAGGAACACCGAUGGCGAAGGCAAUCCCCUGGGCCUGCACUGACGCUCAUGCACGAAAGCGUGGGGAGCAAAU